This 58-nucleotide transfer RNA is filed under the name Camelus bactrianus (Bactrian camel). It matches the Rfam family "tRNA", at positions 7 to 64 of the family's 71-position model. From Rfam's summary of the family: Transfer RNA (tRNA) molecules are approximately 80 nucleotides in length. Their secondary structure includes four short double-helical elements and three loops (D, anti-codon, and T loops). Further hydrogen bonds mediate the characteristic L-shaped molecular structure. tRNAs have two regions of fundamental functional importance: the anti-codon, which is responsible for specific mRNA codon recognition, and the 3' end, to which the tRNAs corresponding amino acid is attached (by aminoacyl-tRNA synthetases). tRNAs cope with the degeneracy of the genetic code in two manners: having more than one tRNA (with a specific anti-codon) for a particular amino acid; and 'wobble' base-pairing, i.e. permitting non-standard base-pairing at the 3rd anti-codon position. The record is from Rfam by way of RNAcentral. RNAcentral also lists the same sequence under 2 other names. Lineage: Eukaryota; Metazoa; Chordata; Mammalia; Artiodactyla; Camelidae.
AUAGCUCAGUGGUAGAGUGUAUGCCUAGUAUGCACAAGGUCCUGGGUUCAAUCCCAGU